GAAAUGCGAUACGUAAUGCGAAUUGCAAGACCUCGUGAAUCAUUAAGAUUUUGAACGCACAUUGCGCUUUCGGGAUUUUCCCGGUAGCAUGCUUGUCUGAGUGUCUGUGGACCCCCCUCAGCGCUGGUUUAUUUUAUAAGCUAGCAGCUGGUUGCUUUGGCUUUGACCACACCUAGUGAUGGUCUUUGCUUAAAUUCUACAACACGUACGUGCAUAGAUUUGGAAAAAGUCUUGGGCUGUCUGAAAGACGGCGCUGACAUUCUCAUCUAUCUCUGGUAGCUUAAUUGUCUAUUUUGAGUUCUUGUGAGUUUGUUGGCUAGCUGUUUGGAAGAACGUGACCACUACUGCUUCUUUGUCUAGCUUGCAGCUUUUCGGAGCCUGCUUGCUAUCCAAUUCCGGAUCUCAGAUCAAGCAAGAUGACCCGCCGAAUUUAAGCAUAUAAUUAAGCGGAGGAAAAGAAACUAACUAGGAUUCCCUC
This 478-nucleotide ribosomal RNA is filed under the name Pseudo-nitzschia sp. A3ni. Its description in RNAcentral is "eukaryotic LSU rRNA". The stretch from base 1 to 106 matches the Rfam family "5.8S ribosomal RNA", at positions 50 to 154 of the family's 154-position model. Lineage: Eukaryota; Bacillariophyta; Bacillariophyceae; Bacillariales; Bacillariaceae. The record is from RNAcentral.